GAUGAAGAACGCAGCGAAAUGCGAUAAGUAAUGUGAAUUGCAGAAUUCAGUGAAUCAUCGAAUCUUUGAACGCACAUUGCGCCCGCCAGUAUUCUGGCGGGCAUGCCUGUUCGAGCGUCAUUACAACCCUCAGGCCCCCGGGCCUGGCGUUGGGGAUCGGCGGAGCCCCCCGUGGGCACACGCCGUCCCCCAAAUGCAGUGGCGGUCUCGCUGCAGCCUCCAUUGCGUAGUAGCUAACACCUCGCAACUGGAACGCGGCGCGGCCAUGCCGUAAAACCCCAACUUCUGAAUGUUGACCUCGGAUCAGGUAGGAAUACCCGCUGAACUUAAGCAUAUCAAUAAGCGGAGGA
This 350-nucleotide unclassified non-coding RNA is filed under the name soil metagenome. RNAcentral describes it as "partial contains 5.8S ribosomal RNA, internal transcribed spacer 2, and large subunit ribosomal RNA". The stretch from base 1 to 120 matches the Rfam family "5.8S ribosomal RNA", at positions 35 to 154 of the family's 154-position model. The record is from RNAcentral.